Molecule: ribosomal RNA, 251 nt
Filed under: uncultured prokaryote
Description: partial 16S rRNA
Rfam family: Bacterial small subunit ribosomal RNA
Source: RNAcentral
ACGGAGGAUGCGAGCGUUAUCCGGAUUUAUUGGGUUUAAAGGGUGCGUAGGCGGGACAAUAAGUCAGUGGUGAAAACCUGCAGCUUAACUGUAGACUUGCCGUUGAUACUGUUGGUCUUGAGUAUGGUCAAGGCAGGCGGAAUGUGUAAUGUAGGGGUGAAAUGCUUGGAUAUUGGGCGGAACACCGAUGGCGAAGGCGGCUUGCUGGGACGUACCUGACGCUGAGGCACGAAAGCGUGGGGAUCGAACAG